GAUCAUGGCUCAGGACGAACGCUGGCGGCGUGCUUAACACAUGCAAGUCGAACGAGAGGAGAAGGAAGCUUGCUUCUUUCAAAUCUAGUGGCAAACGGGUGAGUAACACGUAAACAACCUGCCUUCAGGAUGGGGACAACANACGGAAACGACUGCUAAUACCGAAUACGUUCCUUAGGUCGCAUGACUUUAGGAAGAAAGGGUGGCCUCUACUUGUAAGCUAUCGCCUGAAGAGGGGUUUGCGU
This 245-nucleotide ribosomal RNA is filed under the name uncultured bacterium. RNAcentral describes it as "partial 16S ribosomal RNA". It matches the Rfam family "Bacterial small subunit ribosomal RNA", at positions 15 to 236 of the family's 1533-position model. The record is from RNAcentral.